This 322-nucleotide ribosomal RNA is filed under the name uncultured prokaryote. Its description in RNAcentral is "bacterial SSU rRNA". The record is from RNAcentral.
GACAAGGGAGACGAGUGUUAUUCAUCUUUACCAGGUAUAUAGGGUACCUAGACGGUGUACAAGGCUUUAACAGUACCUGAUACACUAGAGUUUGAUAUGUGAGAGGUUGUCAGAAUUGUUGGUGGAGAAAUGAAAUCCUUUGAUACCAGUAAGACGGGUAACGGCGAAGGCAAACCUUUAUGUACAAGUACUUUGUUUAAAGGUCGGAGUAGAAGAAAUUUUUUAUUUUUUAUGUAAUUCUCUUGAUUAUCUAGUAGAUUAUCACCUUUUAUUUAAGUGCUAUAACUGACGUUGAGGGACGAAGGCUCAGGGAGUGAAGAGG